AGGGUCAUGUAGUCUGCAUACCUUUUCCCUUUCAAAGCCACAUUAAGGCAAUGCUCAAGAUGGCAAAGCUACUAUACAGCAAAGGCAUUUCCAUUACAUUUGUGAAUACCGACUACAAUCACAAACGCUUCCUUAAAUCAGGAGGUGCUCAGGCUCUUGAUGGCCUGCCUGGUUUUAAGUUUGAGUCGAUUCCCGAUGGCCUGCAUUCAUCUGAUUCUGAUGUCACGCAAGAUAUAACUGCCCUUUGUCAUUCCAUCUUGGAAGAAAUGCCGCGUCCCUUUCAGAACCUCCUCACAAAACUUAAUACCGGAACCCACCAGGUCACUUCCAUCCUCUCUGAUGGCUUCAUGCCAUUUACAGCUGAUGCGGCACAUUCCCACGGAGUUCCUGCAAUUUUGUUUUGGCCAUUUGCUGCUUGUGGAUUCAUGGGAUUUUAUCAGUUCAAAAAUGCCCGUGAAAGAGGCCUUGUACCAUUUAAAGGUAAUAAAAUUUAAGUCCAGCUUCAACAUUUUUAGAAUUAUUAAUCAAGAUAAUAAUUUACUGGUUCGGUUACUUCUGUAGUGGAUGGUACAGGAACUCCUAGCUGUUUCUUGUUUUAAAUGUCAUCAAAUUUUAACAAACACAAUUCUAAUACUGCAGAUGAAAGCUAUCUUACGAAUGGGUAUUUGGACACCAUUGUAGACUGGAUCCCAGGAAUGGGAAAUAUUCGUUUGGGGGAUCUCCCAACUCAGAUCAGAAUCAUGGAUUCAGAUGAUUUUUUAUUUAACUUCGCAGUGGAAUGCAGUAAGAGAGCAGAUAAUGCUACUGCACAUGUAAUUCAUACUUUCGAUGACAUUGAGCUAAAACUUCUGAAUGCCAUCUCAUCUAUGUUUAAGGGUGUCCACACAAUAGGCCCCCAACAGUUGCUUCUCAACCAAAUACCGACAGAUCAGGAAGAGAGUCUCAGGAGCAUUGGAUACAGUCUUUGGGAAGAGGAGAAGACAUGUCUCCGAUGGUUGGACUCUAAAGAAGCUGAUUCUGUAGUCUACGUGAACUUUGGAAGCGUAACAGUCAUGUCUCCGGAGCAAUUGAUGGAGUUUGGCUGGGGGCUAGCUAACAGCAACUGCGCCUUCUUAUGGAUAAUUAGGCCAGAUUUGAUCAUGGGUGAAUCCAACAUUACUUUGGGAGCUGAAUUCAUGGACGCUAUCAGGAACAGGGGCCUCAUUGCAAGCUGGUGUCCCCAAGAGGAUGUUCUGAACCACGUCUCGGUGGGAGGGUUUUUGACACAUGGAGGGUGGAACUCAAUCAUUGAGAGCAUAUGUGCUGGAGUGCCCAUGCUCUGUUGGCCUUUCUUCGGUGAACAAACAACAAACUGUAAGUACAUGUGCAACGAAUGGGAGUGCGGAAUGGAGAUUCAUCAUGAUGUCAACAGAGAUGAUGUCGAGAAGCUUGUUAGACUAUUGAUGGAUGGAGUGGAGGGUAAGAAAAUGAGAAACAAAACCAUGCAGUGGAAAAAAAUGGCAGAAAAGGCCUGUCAGCCUGAUGGCUCAUCUUCCCUAAAUUUGGACAAACUGGUUCUUCUCUUGAAAAACUAAAACACUAGAUUUCCGGUUACCUUUUCCAAACUUUGUGAGCUUUUGCUUGCUUCUAGCUUUAUCAGGUCUCAGCAUUUUAUUUCUUGUCAUGCUUAAAUUAUGCAGCUCCUCUGUUACUGUCCUAAAUGUUCAUUGUAAAAUUUUAUCAAAGGACAAUGCUGGUUUCUAUACAAGUAGCCAGUAUCCGUAGAUGAAAUAAUGCCAGUGGAGCACGAUUAUCAUCUAUACAAUUGCAAAGAAAUGCUACCUGUAUGAACUGUAGAUUGCAUAUAGCUACCAUAUUAAAUGACCAUCUUCCAUAAUCCAUCUCUAUCAAAUCGUUAAAUCGUUUUUCCUAUUUAUUUUUUGUUUCUCUUACAGGAAGGAUGUUGUAAGCCACCAACACAGUCUGGCUACAGUGUGUGAAUCCAACAUAGUGGAUCACUCCUAUAACAAUGCUGCGGAAAUGAUUGAUCAUAUUAAUGAAUACAUUUAUAACAUUUUGAUGUAAAAAUAAUCAUAAAAAAUUAAUGAUCAUAUGGAUUUUAUUUUUAUUUUUGGCAAAAUUGAUCAUAUGGAUUAGGUAAGAAUGAUUGAUCAAAAUAAUAUAUUUACUAUGGAUUAGGUAAAAUGAUUGAUCAUAUGAAAAUGAUUGAUCAUACUAAUUAAUAUAUUUAUAGUAUUUUAAAAUUUAUAUUUGUAAAACUUAUGUGAUUUAAUGAAUUGAUUAUAAUAAUCAAGUUUAAAUAUAUAAUUUUUUUAAUAACUCAUAUAGUAUUCAAUAAAUUAACUAGUGCGAUGAGAUUUGCUAUCAUUUUAGUCGAAGAUUUCCGAUAAUCAAAAUAUUAUAAUUUAUACAAAGUAUAUAUAGUUUUUUAGAGCAUCCCAUCACAUAAAAUCAUUAUUUAAAUAUUACAUAUAAAAAUCAUAGAGAUUGUCUAGAAAAAUUUGAACAUUUAACAAGCUUUCACAUCAUUUUUUUUAAAUAAUAAAUAUUUUUGCUAGUAAAUCGACAAAUUGUGUCCACAUUUUUGCUGUCGGUAGAGAGGUUCACUAUAUGCACUAAAUUAUUGAAUUUGGACAAACAUCAUUUAUAUUAUUGUUCUUUUGACAUCGACUAGUACUCAUUACUGAUUCACAUAUAAAACACCUUGAAAUUUAUAGUGCAUUUAUUGGAAAAUGUGUGGCUAUGUUUUGAAAAUCAUCAAUUAAAAAACCCUUGUUCUCUAUUAAAAUAAGAAUUGUUUUAACAUUUUUACACAUAAUUUCUGAUUAAAAAAGACAUGUUUUUACAUUAUUUUUCAAAACUUUUUUCUAAGCAAAAAUAUAAAUAUUAAGUAUGAUUUUUUACAUAUCAAAUUUAAUGUAAAAUGUCAAAACCGCUAAUAAUAAGACCCAGAGAGUAUAUGAUGCUACUAUUAUAAAUAAUUAAUGAUAAAAUAAGUCUUUGUUUCACGUAAUUUCACAAACAGUAAAAAUUAUUCUCUCUCAAAAAUUAUAAAUAAUUAAUGAUAAAAUAAUUAUUUGUAUUGUGCCAAUAGCUGAGCACAUGCACCAUGAACUCUUUUUAGAUCCCUUCACUGGCACCUGCUGUCCACAGAUGUCGUCUCAAGAUGUCGUCUCAAGAUAAAACCCACAAAUCUACAUCUAGUUUAUUUGUAUUUUAAGCACCAAUCACUUGUAUUUACUUGCUUCAAGAUAUCAGUGACCAGUAAGUAAUAUAUAAAAAGCAAGAAAAAGCUUUUGUCAAGUGCACUUGCUGUUUGCGUAACAAAAAGAGGCAUGGAUACCUUAGAAACAACAGCAAAGAAGCAGGGCCAUGUAGUUUGCAUACCUUUUCCCAUUCAAAGCCACAUUAAGGCAAUGCUCAAGAUGGCAAAGCUACUUUAUAGCAAAGGCAUUUUUGUUACAUUUGUGAAUACAGAGUACAAUCACAAGCGCUUCCUUAAAUCAGGAGGUGCUCAGGCUCUUGAUGGCUUGCCUGGUUUUAAUUUUGAAUCAAUUCCAGAUGGCCUGCCGCCUUUGUCCGAUUCUGACGCCACGCAAGACAUACCUGCACUUUGUCAUUCCGUCUUAGAGAAAGAAAUGUUGCUUCCUUUUCAGAACCUCCUCGCACAACUCAAUACCGGAACAAACCAGGUCACUUCCAUCCUCUCUGAUGGCUUCAUGCCAUUUGCAGCUGACGCGGCACAUUCCCAUGAAGUUCCUAUAAUUUUGCUUUGGACAGUUGCUGCUUGUGGAUUCAUGGGAUUUUUUCAGUUCAAAAAUGCCCUUGAAAGAGGCCUUGUACCAUUCAAAGGUGAGAAAAUUUAAAUCCAGCAUCAACAUUGUUAGAAUUAUCAAUAAAAUUAUUAAAGAUAGUCUAGGUAGUCUGAUAAUUUAUUUGUUUUGCGAAAAUUAUCUGUUGCGUGGAUUGUACAAGAAUACCUGGCCCUUUCUUGUUUUCAUGUCAAUAAAUCUUAACAAACACAAUUUGAAUACUGCAGAUGACAGCUAUUUAACAAAUGGUUAUUUGGACACCAUUAUAGACUGGAUCCCUGGAAUGGGUGAGAUUCGCUUUGGGGAUCUCCCAAGCCAUAUCAGAAUCAAUGAUCCAGAUGAAAUAGUAUUCAAGUUCAUAAUGGAAUCUACUCAGAGCGCAACUAAUGCUACAGGACAUGUAUUUCAUACUUUUGAUGAUUUGGAGCUAAAAGUUGUGAAUGCCAUCUCAUCUAUGUUUAAGGGUGUCCACACAAUAGGCCCCCAACAGUUGCUUCUGAACCAAAUACCGACAGAUCAGGAAGAGAGUCUCAGGAGCAUUGGAUACAGUCUUUGGGAAGAGGACAAGACAUGUCUCGAAUGGUUGGACUCUAAAGAAGCUGAUUCUGUAGUUUACAUAAACUUUGGAAGCAUAACAGUCUUGUCCCCGGAGCAAUUGAUGGAGUUUGGCUGGGGGCUAGCUAACAGCAACUGCUCCUUCUUAUGGAUAAUUAGGCCAGAUUUGAUCGUGGGUGAAUCUGACAUUACUCUUGGAAAUGAAUUCAUGGACGCUAUCAAGAACAGGGGCCUCAUUGCAAGCUGGUGUCCCCAAGAGGAUGUUCUGAACCACGUAUCCGUGGGAGGGUUUUUGACACAUGGAGGGUGGAACUCAAUCAUUGAGAGCAUAUCUGCUGGAGUGCCCAUGCUCUGUUGGCCUUUCUUCGGUGAUCAAACAACAAACUGUAAGUACAUGUGCCACGAAUGGGAGUGCGGAAUGGAGAUUCGUAAUGAUGUUAACAGAGAUGAUGUGGAGAAGCUUGUUAGGCUAUUGAUGGACGGAGUGGAGGGUAAGAAAAUGAGAAACAAAACCAUGCAGUGGAAAAAAAUGGCAGAAAAGGCCUGUCAGCCUGAUGGCUCAUCUUCCCUUAAUUUGGACAAACUGGUUCUUCUAUUGAAAAACUAAAACACUAGAUUUCCAGUUACCUUUUCCAAACUUUGUGAGCUUUUGCUUGCUUCUAGCUUUAUCAGGUCUCAGCAUUUUAUUUCCUGUCAUGCUUAAAUUAUGCAGCUCCUCUAUUACUGUCCUAAAUGUUCAUUGUAAAAUUUUAUCAAAGGACAAUGCUGGUUUCGAUACAAGUAGCCAGUAUUCGUAGAUGAAAUAAUGCCAGUGGAGCACGAUUAUCAUCUAUACAAUUGCAAAGAAAUGCUACCUGUAUGAACUGUAGUUUGCAUAUAGCUACCAUAUUAAAUAACCAUCUUCCAUCUCCAUCAUACCGUUAAAAUGUUUUGCCCAGUUCUACAUUGGUUUUAUUAAUUCUAUUUGUGAAGAUCGGUUUCUUAUAAGCUACAAGGUAAACGUGCAACAAGCUAUACCUGACUGGAAGACAUCGUCAAGUAGGUACUUCUUCACUACACAUUUUUUUUCCUAUUUAUUUUUUGUUUCUCUUACAGUAAAGAUGCUGUAAGCCAACAUACUGGAUCAGUCUUAUGAGAACGCCGCGGAAAUGAUUGAUCAUAUUAAUUAAUAUAUUUAUAAGAUUUUGAUGUAAAACUAAUCAUAAAAAUGAUUGAUCAUAUGGAUUAGGUAAGAAUGAUUGAUCAAAAUAAUAUAUUUACCAUGGAUUAGGUAAAAUGAUUGAUCAUAUUAAUUAAUAUAUUUAGAGGUCGAUUGGUUUAAUUCCUGAAAACACAGUAUUAUAUAAUUUCAAAAGAGUUAAUGAUAUUUAUGUUUAUAAUAAUAUAUUUUAUUUUUAUUUUUAAUAAUUAAUAUAAUUUAUUAUUUAAAAAUAUUAUUAUUUUAAAUAAUUUGACUUGUACAUUGUAUUAAAAUAAUUUUAAUUUAUAAAAACUAAAUUAAAAUUUAUUUUUGAUUUUCAAAAAAAUAUUUACAUAAGGCCUUUGUUUUUAAUGAUUUUUGAAAUAUAUUAUUAAUGAAAAUGAAAAAAAUGAAUAAGUAAAGGGAUUAGGUAAACAUAAAAUUAAAAAUGGAAAGACAAUGACAAUUUUUAUAAAACAAACACUAACAAAGGGAAUUAAAUUUAUUGUUUCUCUUUCCUUUUGUUAGUUACCUUUAUACAAACGAUCCUUUAUACUAUUUUAAAAUUUGUAUUUGUAAAACUUCUGUAAUUUAAUGAAUUGAUUAUAAUAAUCAAGUUUAAAUAUGUAAUUUUGUUAAUAAUUGAUAUAGUAUUCGAUAAAUUAACUAGUGCGAUGAGAUUUGCUAGCAUUUUAGUCGAGGAUCCCAAUAAUCAAAAUAUGUUAUAUUAUAAUUUAUACGAAGUACAUAUAAUUUUUUUUGAGCAUCCCAUCACAUAAAAUCAUUAGCUAAAUAUUUUAUAUAUAGAAAUUAUAGGAAUUGUCUAGAAAAAUUUGAUCUGGAUGGGACAAAAUUAUUGUAUACUCCCCCGUCCCUGAGUAGUAUACAUUGGGGGAAGGGGACGCGGCACGGACUUUAAUGCUCCUGUAAAAUGUAGUUAUGUAAUUUAUUUUUAAAAUUUUCUUUUUCUGAAUUAAAGUUUGGAUGUUAUAUUUUUAUUCAGAAAAAGAAAAUCUCAAAAAUAAGUCACGGAACUAUGUUUUUAUAAGAGCAUUGAAAUGCGUGUCGAGCAAUUGAAAAGAAACGUAUACAAUUAAAUGGGAUAGAGGGAGUAUAAUUUUAAUCCAGAUUAGCUGUACAGACGUAUAAAUAUAUGUUACAAGAUUUCACAUCAUUUAUUAUAAUAUUUAAAUAGAAGAUAUUUUAUUUACAACAACUUGAAAUAAUAAUAAUAUAUCAUUUUUAAAUAUAUACGACCCAUAUAGUAGUAUCAUGAAGCAAAUGUUUUAUAAUUGACGGAGUAUAAUAUUUUGGAGUAUAAUAUUUUACUUGUUCAAUCUAAUAAAUUAUUUUUAAGACAAUAUUAUCGGAGAUGCUCCGGAUAAGAUUGUAGAAUAAUUCAAACAUUCAUUGCUUUCGAUUAAUAGGGUCUGUAGUGUGCCAUAUUGAGUCGAUUUAGUAAAUGCUGAUGAAUUUCGUCCACAUAUCUGUUGUCGGUAGAGGUUCACUGUGUGCUCUAAAUUAUUGAAUUUGGACAAACAGUAUUCAUAUCAUUAUUCUUACUAUUAUUCUUUUGACAUCGUCUAAUAGUCGUUACUGAAUUCACAUACAAAAAACACUCUGAAAUUUAUAGUGCGUUUCUUGAAAAAAUUGUGGCUAUUUUUUGAAUAUCAAAUUACAAACUCUUACUCCUUCCAUAUUAAAAUAAGAGUCUUUUUGACUUUUUACAUAUAAUUUGAAGUAGAAAAGACAUGUUUCUAAAUAUUAUUCUUCAAAAUUUUUUAAAAAGAUUGUAAAUAUUAAACUUUUAUUUAGGUAGAAGAAAAUUUUAAAAAUAAUAUGUACGAUAAUGUUUUUUUAUAUCAAAACAGAUAAAAGAAGUAUAUAUGCUAAUAUUAUUAAAAAUAAUUAAUGAUUUAUAAAUCUUUGUUUCAUGAUGUAAGUUCACAGGGUAAACAGUAAAAAUUAUUCUCUCUCAAGAAUCAGGUCAACGAGUGCUUAUAAUUUAAAUCUACUAUUGUAUUUGUAUUGUGCCAAUAGUCUUCAUGUAUAAGGGUAACCAAAUUUGGGCGGGAGUAUUGUAAUCAACUACUCCAUGUAUAUGACUUUCAUUUAUUUUUUUUAGUGUUGUGAUCGGAUAAUUAAAAAUAUUAUUUUUUAAAUUUUUUUUUCUAAAUAAAAAUAUGUAAUAAAAAAUUAAAUUCAUAAAAAGAUAAAUUAAAAAUAACAUUUUUUACUAGCCGGUUACGGUGCCCAAGUCAAAGUGACAUAUAAAAAAACAUAGUUUCGGGUUCCAUUUCCUACCUGAAAAAUAACGGUGAUGGUGGUAGAAUGUGCAAAAUAGCAAUUAACCGAGAUGCUCGAAAACUGACCAUGCACCAGCACAUGCUCUUUUUACUAGAUCCCCUCAAAGAUCUAGUUUAUCUGUAUUUUGUUCGGGCAUUUUAAGCACCAAUCAUUUGUACUAGUAUUUAUUUGCUUCAAGAUAUCAGUGAGUAAUACUAUAUAAAAAGCAAGAAAAAGCUUUUGCCAAGUGCACUUGCUGUCUGCGUAACAAAAAGAGGCAUGGAUACCUUAGAAACAACAGCAAACAAGCAGGGCCAUGUAGUUUGCAUACCUUUUCCCUGUCAAAGCCACAUUAAGGCAAUGCUCAAGAUGGCAAAGCUCCUAUAUAGCAAAGGCAUUUUCGUUACAUUUGUGAAUACCGACUACAAUCAUAAGCGCUUCCUCAAAUCAGGAGGUGCUCAGGCUCUUGAUGGCCUGCCUGGUUUUAAUUUUGAAUCAAUUCCCGAUGGCCUGCAUUCAUCUGAUUCUGAUGUCACGCAAGAUAUAACUGCCCUUUGUCAUUCCAUCUUUGAGAAAGAAAUGUUGCUUCCUUUUAAGAACCUCCUCACACAACUUAAUACCGGAACAAACCAGGUCACUUCCAUCCUCUCCGAUGGCUUCAUGCCAUUUGCAGCUGAUGCGGCACAUUCCCAUGAAGUUCCUAUAAUUUUGUUUUGGACAGUUGCUGCUUGUG
This 8566-nucleotide long non-coding RNA is filed under the name Daucus carota (carrot). RNAcentral's name for it is "long non-coding RNA (DCAR_LNC001573)". Lineage: Eukaryota; Viridiplantae; Streptophyta; Magnoliopsida; Apiales; Apiaceae. The record is from RNAcentral.